GAUGAAGAACGCAGCGAAUUGCGAUAAGUAAUGUGAAUUGCAGAAUUCAGUGAAUCAUCGAAUCUUUGAACGCACCUUGCACCCUUUGGUAUUCCGAAGGGUACACCCGUUUGAGUGUCAUUGUAACCUCACACCACGAGUUUUUUCUCGUGGAGGUGGACUUGGAUGCUGUCGUGUAAUGGCGACUCGUCCGAAAUGCAUUAGCGUAUCCCACAGUGUUGCGUAGUCGGUGUGAUAAUAUCUUCACCGCAGUCGAAAGGCGCGCUCUGCCGUUGGGCCAUGUGCUUUCCAACCGUCUCCGGACAAGCUUUGACAAUUUGACCUCAAAUCGGGUGGGACUACCCGCUGAACUUAAGCAUAUCCAAUAAGCGGAGGA
RNAcentral lists this unclassified non-coding RNA (376 nucleotides) under soil metagenome. RNAcentral describes it as "partial contains 5.8S ribosomal RNA, internal transcribed spacer 2, and large subunit ribosomal RNA". The stretch from base 1 to 120 matches the Rfam family "5.8S ribosomal RNA", at positions 35 to 154 of the family's 154-position model. The record is from RNAcentral.